UGGGAAAAAAAAAUAAUUUCAGAACUCUUAGCUGAUUUUCUGAAAUGCAUUAAUAUAUCAUUAGCAAAGUAAUUGUUAGAUCCUUUGUUAAAAUGCAGCUGUAGCAUGUAACUCUGAGUCAUGUGGAAGCAGUGACUUUUUGAGGAACAGUCUUAAAAGUGUGGUGAGGCACUUGUACAGGUUGCCCAUGGAGGUGGUGGGUGCCCCAUACCUGAAAUCUUUCAAGGUCAGGUUGGACUGGGCUUAGAGAAACCUGAUCUAGUUGAAGAUGUCCCAGCUCAUUCCAGUGGGUGUUGGACUAGAUGGCCUUUAAAUAUCUCUUCUAUGUCAAACCAUUCUAUGAUUCUAUGAAAGCAAACAGAAGAGACAGUUUUACUGUGUCACGAAAUAAUUCUGUUGAAAAUGGUUGCUACAAUACCAAGCAAAGGACAAUGCUCUGUGUUGAACAGAUAUUUCUCUUGUUAGGAAACCACAUGAGUUCCUUCUACCUUUUUCAGUAGCUUUUUAAUUUAAAAUAGUUAAAUAUUUGUACAGAAUUUAGUAAAAUUCUCUGUAAAUCUUUCCAAGAGCAGCAAGCUUCUUAAUCUCCCAUUUUAUUAUAAAUGUCAUGUACCAUUUAUUCAAUACUUAUUGACUGAAACAUAAAAGCUUUGAUGUUUUUCUGUCAUCUGCACGUUGUAUUAAUUAGUGCAAUCUAUCACUUUCCGUGAUUUCAGCAAGGUUGGGUAGAUUUUGGGGUGGAACGAGCAUCGGCUUUGGAAACGCAGCUGCUGCUUCCCCGCACUGGCACUGAAGUCCAAUGCUUCCCUCCAGUGGUGAAACGUCUUCUUACAUGACUCACAAUUUUCAUCAACUAUGGAAAAAUAGCCAUUUUGCAGCAUCUGCUAACGUUCAGGGGCAUCACCUUGCCUGUCUAUUUAGAAGCUCACAUUGUGGUGGUGCCUUGCUCUUUGCACUGACUGUGGAGGAGAUCUGGAUGGGAAGAAAUCUACUUCUUGGAUAG
This 1003-nucleotide long non-coding RNA is filed under the name Cyanistes caeruleus (blue tit). RNAcentral describes it as "lncRNA (ENSCCEG00000009378.1)". Lineage: Eukaryota; Metazoa; Chordata; Aves; Passeriformes; Paridae. The record is from RNAcentral.